This 253-nucleotide ribosomal RNA is filed under the name uncultured bacterium. Its description in RNAcentral is "partial 16S ribosomal RNA". It matches the Rfam family "Bacterial small subunit ribosomal RNA", at positions 524 to 776 of the family's 1533-position model. The record is from RNAcentral.
UACGGGGGGAGCAAGCGUUGUUCGGAUUUACUGGGCGUAAAGGGCGCGUAGGCGGCGCAACAAGUCACUUGUGAAAUCUCCGGGCUUAACCCGGAGCGGCCAAGUGAUACUGUCGUGCUAGAGUGCGGAAGGGGCUACUGGAAUUCUCGGUGUAGCGGUGAAAUGCGUAGAUAUCGAGAGGAGCACCUGCGGCGAAGGCGGGUAGCUGGGCCGACACUGACGCUGAGGCGCGAAAGCCAGGGGAGCGAACGGG